CUGCAGCAUCAUUCUUUGCCGCAAUUUCUUGGUUUUGAUCCCCUGUAAUUUCCAAACCCAGCUCGGAUUCUAAGUGACGAAGCCACUCCCUGUGAUCGACUUCAUCGAUGUUAUGUGCAUCUUGGGGGCUUGAGGCCACUUAAGUGUGCUAAAUGAAUAGGAGGAACAUGAACUUAAGGAUGAUAAUUCCUUUGAUUCCCGGUCCGUACUAGCAUCUUUUGACGCCAAUUUUUUCUUCAAAUGCGUGUUCCACACAUUUUUAAUCUCAUUAUCUGUUCUUCCUGGCAAAUGAGACGCAAUUUUCGACCACCUGGAAAAUCAAUUUGCUACAUGUUGUCAGGCCAAGGCGAUUCACUGAAAGCAAAAUUAGUUAACACAGGUUUCUGCAGCACGCUUACUUAUUCCCCAGAGUCUGAUGUAACUUCAUUAUUGUCUCCUCUUCCUCUGCAGAGAAAUUUCCUCUCUUCACAUCAGGCCUCAGGUAAUUAAUCCAUCGCAGACGGCAACUUUUACCGCAACGUAACAAUCCUAUGAAAACAAAGAUAACCAAUGAGAACCGAAUCUAUCUUUGUCCAAGCACAAAAAAUAAACGCAUUCUGCAGUCCUUGUCAUUGAAGUCCACAUUGUCUACCUUUAUUGUUUUAUACAUAAUUUUAGUGCCUAAUUGCUUUGAAAAAUUGCCUUAAACUCAAUCAUUUGCACACUAUUUUCUUCUCCAAAUUGAAUACCAUUCUAGUUUGAAUGGGAUGAGGAUAAAGCUCUGUAUAUAAGCCAGAAGAACAAGGCUCGUGGCAUUGCAAUGUGGUUUUAGUCAUUGGUCAUAAAAAAAAUUGGCAAUCUUUUAAUUUUUUCACUUACAAAAAAUGGUAUAUACAGUGUACUACAGUUAAAUUUUCCACAUAAAGAGAGGAUUUUUUUAACAGACCA
Molecule: long non-coding RNA, 927 nt
Organism: Mangifera indica (mango)
Lineage: Eukaryota; Viridiplantae; Streptophyta; Magnoliopsida; Sapindales; Anacardiaceae
Exons: 2
Source: RefSeq, a predicted model, not a curated record